Sphaerodactylus townsendi is the source of this 240-nucleotide long non-coding RNA. RefSeq lists it as uncharacterized. The record is from RefSeq and is a predicted model, not a curated record. Lineage: Eukaryota; Metazoa; Chordata; Lepidosauria; Squamata; Sphaerodactylidae. The transcript is spliced from 3 exons.
CAGACAUUCAUUUAAGGCGCAUGCGCAGAAGCACGGUACGUUCAUAUUAUCCACGAACCGACUCCGGAUACGGCGGCUACACGCAUCACCUGAGAUGUCGGUGUGAACAACUGAUCUUUCCAAGAUGAAUAAAUUAAGAACAGCAUCAGAAAAAAGCUUAACUAACAAUUCUCGGAUUGUAAGUUUAUUGACACCAACUUAGGAAGAUCAAUGGAAUGUUUGAGAGCUGACACCAGAUAU